CCUGCCCCUAGAAACAUUGUGGGUGUGGCUGCUGUGUCACAUGUGCGUCAGUAGGUGGCAGAGAGGAGAGAGGCUAUGUCUACGCUCAGAUGUUCUGACCUAUGAACAUGAAUGAUUAGUAGCCUAACAUUC
This is a small nucleolar RNA of Meriones unguiculatus (Mongolian gerbil), 132 nucleotides long. Lineage: Eukaryota; Metazoa; Chordata; Mammalia; Rodentia; Muridae. The record is from Ensembl.